Molecule: ribosomal RNA, 354 nt
Filed under: Triticum aestivum (bread wheat)
Lineage: Eukaryota; Viridiplantae; Streptophyta; Magnoliopsida; Poales; Poaceae
Description: partial small subunit ribosomal RNA
Source: RNAcentral
AUGAUAUACCUAAGUGUUGGUCUAUACUUUAAUGCACCUGUGUUCACGCAUGGCCAGCUUUAUGUAGCAGUGUCGCGUGUGACCUCAAAAAAGGCUUUGAAAAUCCUGAUUGAACAUGAAGAUGGUACUACUGAUUCUCAGACCAGGAACACUGUGUUUCAUGGCAAGCACCAUUUUGUUGGUUCCUGCCUUGCCAAUGUCUACAGCAAUGUGUGCGGCCUUUGUCUCAUCUGUGGCAUUACCGUGGGGCGUGGGGCGACUCAUAAUGGGCCUAUCAAGCAUACUGACCUUGUGAUGAUAGAUAAAGAGGUUGAUGUCAGUGCCAUUCAGAUAAAUAUAUUUUUAGCCCUUUGA